This 243-nucleotide ribosomal RNA is filed under the name uncultured bacterium. RNAcentral's name for it is "partial 16S ribosomal RNA". It matches the Rfam family "Bacterial small subunit ribosomal RNA", at positions 793 to 1035 of the family's 1533-position model. The record is from RNAcentral.
GUCCACGCCGUAAACGAUGUCAACUAGGUGUCGGGCAGAUUUACUGUUCGGUGCCGUAGCUAACGCGUUAAGUUGACCGCCUGGGGAGUACGGCCGCAAGGUUGAAACUCAAAGGAAUUGACGGGGGCCCGCACAAGCGGUGGAGCAUGUGGUUUAAUUCGAUGCAACGCGAAGAACCUUACCAGCUCUUGACAUACAGAGAACUUUCUAGAGAUAGAUUGGUGCCUUCGGGAACUCUGAUAC